AGGGGGCAGAGUCUACCAAACAUGGCGUUGCAGAGAUCUAUCAAAAAUAAACACAGAAUAAACAUAGUUUUAAUUGGUGAUAAAGAUGUUGGAAAGACCUCUUUAUUUGAGCUAUUCCGGAAACAUAGAGUUUGUGAAGUGACUGAAAGCACCGUUGGUCUCAAUGUUGAGAUUAUAAACAUGGUAACAAGACAAAGGAAUGUUACAGUUGAGGUAAAAACUGAAACUAAACUACACUGACUAUGGUUAUACAUCCAAUGAAUGAUAGCUAAAGUGUCCUGCAUGGUCCACACAUACAUUUUAUACAGUGACUGACUGUUAUAGACCUCUUCAGGUGAGAUUGACGGUG
This is a long non-coding RNA of Amphimedon queenslandica, 349 nucleotides long. RefSeq lists it as uncharacterized. The record is from RefSeq and is a predicted model, not a curated record. NCBI's taxonomy places the organism in Eukaryota, Metazoa, Porifera, Demospongiae, Haplosclerida, Niphatidae. The transcript has 2 exons.